RNAcentral lists this ribosomal RNA (412 nucleotides) under uncultured bacterium. RNAcentral's name for it is "bacterial SSU rRNA". It matches the Rfam family "Bacterial small subunit ribosomal RNA", at positions 28 to 445 of the family's 1533-position model. The record is from RNAcentral.
GAUGAACGCUAGCGGGAGGCCUAACACAUGCAAGCCGAGCGGUAGAGAUUCUUCGGGAUCUUGAGAGCGGCGUACGGGUGCGGAACACGUGUGCAACCUACCUUUAUCUGGAGGAUAGCCUUUCGAAAGGAAGAUUAAUACUCCAUAAUAUAUUGAUUGGCAUCGAUUGAUAUUGAAAGCUCCGGCGGAUAGAGAUGGGCACGCGCAAGAUUAGCUAGUUGGUGAGGUAACGGCUCACCAAGGCGAUGAUCUUAGGGGCCUGAGAGGUGAUCCCCACACUGGUACUGAGACACGGACCAGACUCCUACGGGAGGCAGCAGUGAGGAAUAUUGGUCAAUGGGUGCAAGCCUGAACCAGCCAUCCCGCGUGAAGGACGACUGCCCUAUGGGUUGUAAACUUCUUUUGUAUAGGG